UACACACACUGUGAAUCAUCGAAUCUUUGAACGCACCUUGCACUGGCCGUAAUUGGCCAGUAUACCUGUUUGAGUAUCAUACAACCUCAUGCGCGCCUUGCUAAGCCGGGUGUCGCGUGGAUCUGAGGGGUCUCCUGUGACGGGAGUCUCUUGAAACGUAGGAUGCAGACUUCUCAGCCGUCUACAGUGCCAGUACCAUUUCGGAGGCCGUCUCUUUGGAGUCGGCUGACGUGGGUUGUGUCUGUAGGAGGUCGUGGGGAGCGAGCAUGUCUGACUGAUUGCUGGGUGCCUUGGUGCCCAGUUACACUGAUCUCAAAUCAAGUAAGACUACCCGCUGAACUUAAGCAUAUCAAUAAGCGGAGG
This 363-nucleotide ribosomal RNA is filed under the name Diptera environmental sample. RNAcentral describes it as "eukaryotic LSU rRNA". The stretch from base 308 to 363 matches the Rfam family "Eukaryotic large subunit ribosomal RNA", at positions 1 to 56 of the family's 3401-position model. The record is from RNAcentral. Lineage: Eukaryota; Metazoa; Arthropoda; Insecta; Diptera.